RNAcentral lists this ribosomal RNA (372 nucleotides) under uncultured bacterium. Its description in RNAcentral is "bacterial SSU rRNA". It matches the Rfam family "Bacterial small subunit ribosomal RNA", at positions 524 to 898 of the family's 1533-position model. The record is from RNAcentral.
UACGGAGGGUGCAAGCGUUAUCCGGAAUCAUUGGGUUUAAAGGGUCCGCAGGCGGUCUUAUAAGUCAGUGGUGAAAGCCUACAGCUUAACUGUAGAACUGCCAUUGAUACUGUAAGACUUGAAUUCGGUCGAAGUGGGCGGAAUGUGACAUGUAGCGGUGAAAUGCUUAGAUAUGUCACAGAACACCGAUAGCGAAGGCAGCUCACUAGGCCUGGAUUGACGCUCAUGGACGAAAGCGUGGGGAGCAAACAGGAUUAGAUACCCUGGUAGUCCACGCCGUAAACUAUGAUUACUCGUUUUCGGCGAUAUACAGUCGGAGACUAAGCGAAAGUGAUAAGUAAUCCACCUGGGGAGUACGAUCGCAAGGUUGAA